This 30-nucleotide non-coding RNA is filed under the name Arabidopsis thaliana (thale cress). Lineage: Eukaryota; Viridiplantae; Streptophyta; Magnoliopsida; Brassicales; Brassicaceae. The record is from RNAcentral. RNAcentral also lists the same sequence under 1 other name.
GGAUGCGAUCAUACCAGCACUAAUGCACCG